RNAcentral lists this long non-coding RNA (209 nucleotides) under Mytilus galloprovincialis (Mediterranean mussel). The record is from RNAcentral. Lineage: Eukaryota; Metazoa; Mollusca; Bivalvia; Mytilida; Mytilidae.
AAUAAAUGGACUUAGAUUGUCUUUACAGUUAACGUCAGAUGAAACCUCAAAUUCAACAAAAAAAUGAUGCAUAUGUUUUUAAAUCUAAACGUAUAGUUUUCAUUACAAAACUUAUGUACAGAUGAUUUUGUCUAAAGAAAAUUUUUCCACAUUUAGAAGAAGUUCACUUUUUUUAAUUGCUUGCCUCCAGGAAGCAGUUCGCCGACAAA